CCCCGGCAGGCGAUCCGGGCAGGUGCCGGCCGGCCCCGGACCGGCCGGAUGGGCGCCGAUCCGCUCCGGCGGCCGGGUG
This 79-nucleotide transfer RNA is filed under the name Actinoplanes sp. NBRC 14428. RNAcentral describes it as "tRNA-Arg". The record is from RNAcentral. Lineage: Bacteria; Bacillati; Actinomycetota; Actinomycetes; Micromonosporales; Micromonosporaceae.